CUACCUUCGUUUUCCUAUGAAAUAAUCUCUUAUCGAUUGCAUCCAGGUCGACCCACUGUCGAACGAAAUUCGCAGUCACGCGAUAGCAGUUUGUACUCGAGAGUCGAGUGACGCGCAUCAGUACGCGAUGAAAGUGAGACGAUGCAUCUUUUCCAUUGGGUUGUAACAUAAGAAAUUUCUGAUGAAUUGCGAGGCAAGCCGUACCUUGAAAAUGUGGGGCUAAACACAAACGAAGGUUAGUGUCGCGUCGGUAAUCUCAGAGUGUUUCUAAGUUACAAUGAGCGACGCAGGAGUGUACCGGGGCAGGAAAGCCGAUGCUAAGCGGAUCAACCACGCCGAACUGUCUUUAACAGAUGCAG
Molecule: long non-coding RNA, 359 nt
Organism: Hylaeus anthracinus
Lineage: Eukaryota; Metazoa; Arthropoda; Insecta; Hymenoptera; Colletidae
Exons: 3
Source: RefSeq, a predicted model, not a curated record